This 113-nucleotide ribosomal RNA is filed under the name Alcaligenaceae bacterium. Its description in RNAcentral is "partial 16S ribosomal RNA". It matches the Rfam family "Bacterial small subunit ribosomal RNA", at positions 1 to 109 of the family's 1533-position model. Lineage: Bacteria; Pseudomonadati; Pseudomonadota; Betaproteobacteria; Burkholderiales; Alcaligenaceae. The record is from RNAcentral.
AGAUCGAACUGUAGAGUUUGAUCCUGGCUCAGAUUGAACGCUGGCGGCAUGCCUUACACAUGCAAGUCGAACGGUAACAGGUCUUCGGAUGCUGACGAGUGGCGAACGGGUGA